Molecule: transfer RNA, 76 nt
Filed under: Mycobacterium florentinum
Lineage: Bacteria; Bacillati; Actinomycetota; Actinomycetes; Mycobacteriales; Mycobacteriaceae
Description: tRNA-Phe
Rfam family: tRNA
About the family: Transfer RNA (tRNA) molecules are approximately 80 nucleotides in length. Their secondary structure includes four short double-helical elements and three loops (D, anti-codon, and T loops).
Source: RNAcentral
GGCCAGGUAGCUCAGUUGGUACGAGCGUCCGCCUGAAAAGCGGAAGGUCGGCGGUUCGAUCCCGCCCCUGGCCACC